Molecule: long non-coding RNA, 290 nt
Organism: Oncorhynchus tshawytscha (Chinook salmon)
Lineage: Eukaryota; Metazoa; Chordata; Actinopteri; Salmoniformes; Salmonidae
Source: Ensembl
GGGGGUUAUGGCAGUAGUCUAGUGUGAGGGGUUAUGGCAGUAGUCUAGGGGUUAUGGCAGGGGAACAGUGUUACAGUAGUCUAGUGUGAGAGGUUAUGGCAGGGGAACAGUGUUACAGUAGUCUAGUGUGAGGGGUUAUGGCAGGGAAACAGUGUUACAGUAGUCUAGUGUGAGGGGUUAUAGCAGGGGAACAGUGUUACAGUAGUCUAGUGUGUGUUUUGGGAAUAAUGACAAGCGAACCUGGGAAGUUUUGUGUUCACAUUGGCCUGAAAAAGGAAACCGGACCCUGG